GUAAUAUUCAAGGUCAAAUAUAUUAUGUUCCUCUUUAUAGAUGUAAUGAAAUUGUCUCUUCACAGUACUUAAAUGUUGACAAAUUCACUGUGUGGACUUUUACCUUUGAAAUAAUUAUUUAUUAAAAUUCUGCAAGUUUUGUAUAUCUAAAAUCGAUAUUUACAUAUAUCCCUAUUGGUAAAUCAAUUUUUCCCAAAUUAAGUUAAGAGGGGGGUGUGGGGGUCAGUGAAAAAACUAUGUGAAUUAAGUUUUUUAUCCUACAUUGAACUUUUGAUGUCGUCCCUAAAGCAAGCUCCACUAACAGGUUGAAAAUCAUCAAUUUAUUUCAUCAUAUCAUUUCAUGGUUUAAAAGAUAACAAAAAAAUAUAUGGGUAGCUCUAUAAAUUAGAGUAGCUUUAAGAAAUAGGGUGGAUUCAUUAUAAUUCUUUGUGUACCUAUUUUCUUAGAUUUCGUUGAAACUGUAAACUUGUUUUAAUUGUUGUAAAAAC
RNAcentral lists this long non-coding RNA (488 nucleotides) under Mytilus galloprovincialis (Mediterranean mussel). The record is from RNAcentral. Lineage: Eukaryota; Metazoa; Mollusca; Bivalvia; Mytilida; Mytilidae.